RNAcentral lists this ribosomal RNA (440 nucleotides) under uncultured bacterium. RNAcentral describes it as "partial 16S ribosomal RNA". It matches the Rfam family "Bacterial small subunit ribosomal RNA", at positions 338 to 795 of the family's 1533-position model. The record is from RNAcentral.
CCUACGGGAGGCAGCAGUGGGGAAUAUUGCACAAUGGGGGAAACCCUGAUGCAGCGACGCCGCGUGAGUGAAGAAGUACUUCGUUAUGUAAAGCUCUAUCAGCAGGGAAGAAAAUUACGGUACCUGAGUAAGACUCCCCGGCUAACUACGUUCCAGCAGCCGCGGUCAUACGGAGGGGGCAAGCGUUAUCCGGGUUUACUGGGUGUAAAGGGGGCGUAGACGGGAGUGCAAGUCUGGAGUGAAAGGCGGGGGCUCAACCCCCGGACUGCUCUGGAAACUGUACGGCUGGAGUGCAGGAGUGGUAAGUGGAAUUCCUAGUGUAGCGGUGAAAUGCGUAGAUAUUAGGAGGAACACCAGUGGCGAAGGCGGCUUACUGGACUGUAACUGACGUUGAGGCUCGAAAGCGUGGGGAGCAAACAGGAUUAGAUACCCUGGUAGUC